UACGGAGGAUCCGAGCGUUAUCCGGAUUUAUUGGGUUUAAAGGGUGCGCAGGCGGGGGAUUAAGUCGGCGGUGAAAUUUUGCAGCUCAACUGUAAAAGUGCCUUCGAAACUGGUUUCCUUGAGUGUGGAUGAAGUAGGCGGUAUUUGUGGUGUAGCGGUGAAAUGCAUAGAUAUCACGAGGAACUCCGAUUGCGCAGGCAGCUUACUAAGCCAUAACUGACGCUCAGGCACGAAGGCGUGGGGAUCAAACAGG
Molecule: ribosomal RNA, 253 nt
Filed under: uncultured bacterium
Lineage: Bacteria
Description: partial 16S ribosomal RNA
Rfam family: Bacterial small subunit ribosomal RNA
Source: RNAcentral